Molecule: long non-coding RNA, 1839 nt
Organism: Actinia tenebrosa (Australian red waratah sea anemone)
Lineage: Eukaryota; Metazoa; Cnidaria; Anthozoa; Actiniaria; Actiniidae
Source: RefSeq, a predicted model, not a curated record
GAAGACGUUGGAGUGACGUGUAAGAUGGGCGCAGUUGGAAGGACAACACAAGAACCUACAACUGCUAAACCAUUGCUGACCAAACCAUUGACCAGCAGCGUCACUGAGAGGCCAACAACAAAUAAGAAACAGCGAACUGGAGAGCCUGGCUGCGGUAAUUUUACACCGAAAGCGAAUUGCUCAAAAGAAGAUGAUGGUAAGAAAAACAUAUACAAAACAUGUACAUAGAUAUAGCCAAGCAUACUAAAAGAUUCUAUCAUAAUCAGUUAACCCUUCAAAAAAGUCUAAAGAAUCUAGAAUCUAUAGGCUUUUGUCAUAAUUCUGAUGUUCAAAUAUUUUGAUGUCAGAAUUUUGUAUGCAGUUAAGAAAUCUUGAAGGAUUCAAGAUAUCUUAACUUUGAUGGGUUGCUAUGGCUACUAGUGGAGACAAGAGGCGAUUUGUUUAGCUAGUGAGACAUAGUUAUAUCAUUUCGGUAAUCAAUGAUUUACGAGUAAGCUGUAGAAUGUAUUGAUAACGUACCAAAGUGGAGUAGAAUGAUGUGAUGGUCACCGAGGCUGUAGCAGACGUUAAUGGCUGUGGAAAGUUGGGUAAGUACUGAAACACUUUUGCUCACACAUGCAUUUGGGAAGGUACGUUUUAUAAUGGGGGAGAGCGGGAUGCAAGAUUCGCAGUAAAUUUUUUUUAGCUGAUUGUAGCCCUCGCCUUUUAUUCAGUAAGAAAUAUAUGACCCUCCUAUAGAGUUAACAAGGAAAAAUAUUUCGUCAGAAAAUAAAAAUGUUUGACCUGCCAAAAAAGUUAUUUUUUUUUUACUAUUGACAUUCCCCUCGAAAGCCCAAGCCUUCCCCAAUAAAAGAGGUACCUUAUUUCGUUCUUCAGUUCCUUUUAUUUCGUGAACCGGAACGGUUCUUUAAUUGGUUUACAUCUUUCAUCUCCAGUCUUCUCAUUUAUACCUUUUCGUGUUAGUUGUCCUAUUGAUUGAUUGCUUCAUUCAUUAAACAGAUUUAAACCUCCAUUUCUUUCUUCUUCUUUUUUCUCUCCCUCGCACCCAUUCGUUCUUUUAUUCAUUUUUCAUUCAUUUAUUCAAUCGUUCGCUUUUUUUAUCCACCCAUCCACUUCUUAUUUUGCUUUGUGCUUUGUUUUUGCAUUCGUUUUUUUUGACCACACAGGAAGCCCAUUAGAGUAAAGAAAAGAACAGUGAUGAACUACUAAACCAAAGAUGAUGACGUCACCACAGUUGAAUUACGUCACUAAACUGUGAUCAGAAUGAUGCAGACAGACAGACAGAGCUAUAACUAAAUAAGUAUAUUCAAAUAGUUAGUUAGGUAGUCAGUCAACAGUCAAUUUAUAGAUGUAUAUUUUAUUGAAGUAUAUAAUUAUAGAUGUGAAUAUGAAUAUAAAUCAACAAGUACAAUUGUAUGUACCAAUAAAGACACAUAUAUAGAUACAAAAUAAAUAAAUGUAAACACCAAAGCAUUUUAUGCCAUCUCCCCUACCCCUCCCUCCUCCAUAGACAGACUUUGCACCCCCUCCCCCUCCGCCAUCCAUGACAAGGAGGACUGAUCAGGACUUUCUCCACCACUAACGAAAGCAGUCAGCUCAUUCCUUAUGGUUUGAUUAAGAUUUUGCUUUGCCUGCCUGUUUUUUAGCCUAGGCUAUUCAUAUUUAGACUAGCUUAUUAUGAGAAAGCAAAAUAUAAACUAUUAAUGUAUGGGUAGGGUUGGGAAACUGUACUAAAUGUUCCUCUAUAUUUGGCGCGCACACGCUUAAAGGCUUGAAUACGUUUGACCUUAUUAGUUCAAAUUUUAGUAAAAUAUAAAAAGCACCGUAAUCAUAAAAAAA